AUACGUAGGGAGCGAGCGUUGUCCGGAAUUACUGGAUGUAAAGGGAGCGUAGGCGGGAGUGCAAGUCAGAUGUGAAAUACAUGGGCUCAACCCAUGGGCUGCAUUUGAAACUGCAUUUCUUGAGUGAAGUAGAGGUAAGCGGAAUUCCUGGUGUAGCGGUGAAAUGCGUAGAUAUCAGGAGGAACAUCGGUGGCGAAGGCGGCUUACUGGGCCUUUACUGACGCUGAGGCACGAAAGCGUGGGGAGCAAACAGGAUUAGAUACCCUGGUAGUCCACGCUGUAAACGAUGAUGACUAGGUGUGGGGGGACUGAACCCUUCCGUGCCGCAGUUAACACAAUAAGUCAUCCGCCUGGGGAGUACGGCCGCAAGGUUGAAACUCAAAUGAAUUGACGGGG
This 396-nucleotide ribosomal RNA is filed under the name uncultured bacterium. Its description in RNAcentral is "partial 16S ribosomal RNA". It matches the Rfam family "Bacterial small subunit ribosomal RNA", at positions 523 to 918 of the family's 1533-position model. The record is from RNAcentral.